This 77-nucleotide transfer RNA is filed under the name Salmonella enterica subsp. enterica serovar Infantis. Its description in RNAcentral is "tRNA-Asn". It matches the Rfam family "tRNA". Rfam says of the family: Transfer RNA (tRNA) molecules are approximately 80 nucleotides in length. Their secondary structure includes four short double-helical elements and three loops (D, anti-codon, and T loops). Lineage: Bacteria; Pseudomonadati; Pseudomonadota; Gammaproteobacteria; Enterobacterales; Enterobacteriaceae. The record is from RNAcentral. RNAcentral also lists the same sequence under 3 other names.
UCCUCUGUAGUUCAGUCGGUAGAACGGCGGACUGUUAAUCCGUAUGUCACUGGUUCGAGUCCAGUCAGAAGGAGCCA